This 300-nucleotide long non-coding RNA is filed under the name Ananas comosus (pineapple). RNAcentral describes it as "long non-coding RNA (ACOM_LNC015377)". Lineage: Eukaryota; Viridiplantae; Streptophyta; Magnoliopsida; Poales; Bromeliaceae. The record is from RNAcentral.
UAACCUUCAAAUUUUUGGUUUUACUAUCCAACCUUUCAAUUUGUUUAAUUUGAAUCAGUUAACGGUAUUUUGACUUUAAAAUUUGAGUAUAUUAUUUAUCUUUACAGAUUUAGUUUGUAUAUUUAAUGUAUUUUUUGUAACUAUAAAUUUAUUAAAGUAAGGAAUUAAUUUAAAUUUUAUAAUCAAAUUAUGGCCGUCGACUAACGGAAAUCAAAUAAAUUAAAAAAUCAGAUAGUAAAAUCAAAAUUUUUAAAGUUUGGAUAGCGGAUUCAAAAUGGAUCAUAAUUCUAGUAAGUUUUA